GGGAUUUCAAGGGAUUAAGCUAAUAAAGGUGGUGAGCCUUCUAACAAGGGUAAAGAGAUUGUGCUCGAAGACCAAGAAUAGAAGCCCGAGAUAGCCUGUGGACAUCAGAUAUUGUCAAGGAUUAUAGUCGACUUUACUACUCCAAAAACUGUAGGUUUACUGGCUUUGUGCACUUUUGUUCCUUGUGGGCCCAUGAGUCCCUGUAAAGUAAAUUUCAUAUCCCGGUUAUCUGUAUUAUAGGAGGUAUGAAUUUUUUUAGCUUUUACAUUACAAAAA
This is a non-coding RNA of Theobroma cacao (cacao), 276 nucleotides long. NCBI's taxonomy places the organism in Eukaryota, Viridiplantae, Streptophyta, Magnoliopsida, Malvales, Malvaceae. The record is from RefSeq and is a predicted model, not a curated record.